This 396-nucleotide ribosomal RNA is filed under the name Cecidomyiidae gen. sp. 2022-AE01. RNAcentral's name for it is "partial 12S ribosomal RNA". Lineage: Eukaryota; Metazoa; Arthropoda; Insecta; Diptera; Cecidomyiidae. The record is from RNAcentral.
UUUAAUUAAAAUUAAAAGCGACGGGCAAUAUGUGCAUAUUUUAAAUUAAAAUUUAAAAUAAAUAUUUAUUUAAAUUUAUUAUUAAAUCCAAUUUAUUAAUAAUUUUACAAUUUAUUAAUUCAUAUAAUUUUAAAAUAUAGUAUUACAUUAAUAAAUUUAAAUAUUAAAUAUAUUAUGAUUUGAAAUACUAAUAAUUAUACUAAUUAUACUAAUUAUCAAUUAUUCAUAAAUAAUUUAAACAACAAUAUAUAAUUUAAUAUAAUUUAAAUAAAUUUUAUUGUGGAUUAUCAAACUAAAAAACAUAAUCCUCUAAUUUUUAAAAAUACUACCAAAUUAUUUAAUUUUAUUUAUAAAUAUAAUAAUUAUUUAUUUUAAAAUACAUUUUAAAAUAUAAUA